GCGGGUGUCGUACAACGGCUAGUAUAUAAGUUUUCCAAACUUAGGACGAGAGUUCGAUUCUCUCCACCCGCACCA
This 75-nucleotide transfer RNA is filed under the name Candidatus Saccharimonadota bacterium. RNAcentral's name for it is "tRNA-Gly". It matches the Rfam family "tRNA". From Rfam's summary of the family: Transfer RNA (tRNA) molecules are approximately 80 nucleotides in length. Their secondary structure includes four short double-helical elements and three loops (D, anti-codon, and T loops). The record is from RNAcentral. RNAcentral also lists the same sequence under 1 other name. Lineage: Bacteria; Candidatus Saccharimonadota.